This 723-nucleotide ribosomal RNA is filed under the name uncultured bacterium. Its description in RNAcentral is "bacterial SSU rRNA". It matches the Rfam family "Bacterial small subunit ribosomal RNA", at positions 28 to 764 of the family's 1533-position model. The record is from RNAcentral.
GAUGAACGCUGGCGGCGUGCCUAAUACAUGCAAGUCGAGCGGGACUGCAAAAGUUUGCUUUUGUAGUCUAGCGGCGGACGGGUGAGUAACACGUAGGCAACCUGCCCCAAACUCUGGGAUACCUACUGGAAACAGUAGUUAAUACUGGAUAAGCUGGCGAAAUCGCAUGAUUUUGUCAGAAAAGAUUUAUUGGUUUGGGAUGGGCCUGCGUUAGAUUAGCUAGUUGGUAAGGUAAAGGCUUACCAAGGCGACGAUCUAUAGCCGACCUGAGAGGGUGAUCGGCCACACUGGGACUGAGACACGGCCCAGACUCCUACGGGAGGCAGCAGUAAGGAAUAUUGCACAAUGGGGGAAACCCUGAUGCAGCAACGCCGCGUGAAGGAUGAAGGUUUUCGGAUCGUAAACUUCUUUAGUCUGGGAAGAAAAAAAUGACGGUACCAGAAGAAUAAGCUCCGGCUAACUACGUGCCAGCAGCCGCGGUAAUACGUAGGGGGCAAGCGUUAUCCGGAAUUACUGGGUGUAAAGGGUGAGUAGGCGGUUCUUUAAGUCAUAAGUGAAAGCCUGAGGCUCAACCUCAGCGAGCUUAAGAAACUGGAGAACUAGAGUGCUGGAGAGGUAAGUGGAAUUCCUAGUGUAGCGGUGAAAUGCGUAGAUAUUAGGAGGAACACCAGUGGCGAAGGCGACUUACUGGACAGAUACUGACGCUGAGUCACGAAAGCGUGG